GCCCCUCCGGGAGGACAGUUUCGGAGGCGGAAACCUGCAGGUCCACUAAAAGACAGACGCCUCAAUAUAAAGUUGGAUAUUCAGUCGUAUUUUUAUUUUUUUAAAUCAGAGAAUCACUGAAACAACGAGUUAUGAGAACGAAUCAAAUUAUUUUUUUAAACCGUGGAAAGAGAAUGAGUGGAGAUAGCUUGAGCUGAGAAUCCGUGUGUAUAAAGGUAGACGCACUUUUAAGACGCACAACAUAAUAGCCGUUUCAACUGAUUCCACAAGAUAUCAGCCAUGGAUUUUUAACAUCAACACGGACUAAAGUUCGUUCUUGAAGAGGUCCGAUCCGCUCCACUCCGACCCUGUCCCAUACCAGUCCGUAUAGUGCAGGUAGAAGAUGGCAGAGAGAGUGACUUGGUGGAGAGCGUUUAUGGGGAGCAGUAAGACGAUUAGUAGUGGUACCAAGGACAUCACCCCAGCUACCCAGAUCCCAGACACAGUGAAGGACCCUCUGACGCCCCGCACACAGGGAAUCCAAGCUACACCACACUCAGCAGCCCCCAAACUCCCAACCAAUCAACAGCCACCAGCAUCACCACAACAACCAGCAUCACAGCAGCCACAGGCACCAGUCAGUACAGGCACCAGCCUCUUCAGCGACGAGACCUUCGAUGACUCCCAGUUUGAGUCGGUCUUCAACGAACAUACUUGUCGUAGGAACCUGAGGGUGUCUCGGUCAGGCCGGUUUAAGGAGAAGAAGAGGGUACGCUCCAGUCUUCCUACUGGGAAAGAGGACGUACGAUAACGAGGAUGGUGAUGAUGAGGGAGAUAGUGGCCAAAAGACUGCUCUUACUUCUGAACUUUAUUUCAACACGGCCGUCCGUUCUGGGGGAAAAGGAAGGUAGAUGAAGAUGAAUUGUAAGUUGAAGAUAAGUUGAGGGUAGAGUUGAAGAUAAGUUGAAGAUAAGUUGAGGGUAGAGUUGAGGGUAAGUUGAAGAUAAGUCAAAGAUAAGUUGAAGAUAAGUUGAAGAUAAGUUGAAGAUAGUGAUUUGAGACCUUGACUUUACUCUUUGGAACCCUUUUGUCAGUACUAGAGAGUCUGUCUGUUCCGCUGCUGCUGCUUCUUCAUCAAUCAACAUGAGAUUCAUUUCAUUGAUUUUGAUUUAUUGAUCCCUUAUGGGAAGCUGAACAUUAUUUAAUCAACUUUUUAACCCUUGAAAAUGAAUAACUUAAGCUGUGUUUCCCAUCACAAAGAAAGUGAACUGAUACUCUUCUCUACCUCCUGUCUUGUUACAUUAUAAUGGACUGCUGAUUGGCAGUAGUGAAAGUUUCUCCGUGACAGCUAGGUAGGUACUUACCAGUCCUUCCUUGAGGAAAAUCACAGGUCUGACAAGGUUUGAUUGAUUUAAAGCAAUAGGAAGACAAGUGUGUCUUUACUAAUCCAAUCCCGUAAAGAUCAGUGGUUAGGCUACUUCAAGGAAGGAAAGAAGGGAGGAAUGAAGGAAGGAAGGACCAUUUUCUGUAAGAAGUACCACCUUUCAGCUUUAAAAACUAUCCAGACUUUUCUAGCCUUUUUUGUUGUUGUAUCAAAACAGUAUACUGAAAAUGAGACACACACACACACACAGCUACGCACAUUCCAGGAAAUGAUACGCUGUUUAUAAGAUGUUUACAUAUAUAUGUGUAAUAUUCAGAAUAUGAAGGAUAUAAUAUUGUUUUUACCAAUCAAUGUUGUUGUUUUGUUUAUUUAAAAAAAAAUAUGAUUACAGUGGGUUAGAAGGGUACUUUAAAAAAAAAAAUUUAAAGAGGUGGGAUUGCUUGAAUGAAUGAGCAUUGGUGUUUGUGACGGACAGGUGAAAAUAUAAGAUUAUAUCCACUAGCUGCUAUUCGGUUACAUACAGGCACACGUUUUAGAGGGAAACAUCACCAUCUGGAGCAAAUCCUGAUAGAAGAUGCUAUUAGAAGCUAAACAGUAAGGUGUUAUAGAUGUAUAUAAUCCUGAUAGAAGAUGCUAUUAGAAGCUAAACAGUAAGGUGUUAUAGAUAUAUAUAAUCCUGAUAGAAGAUGCUAUUAGAAGCUAAACACUAAGGUGUUAUAGAUAUAUAUAAUCCUGAUAGAAGAUGCUAUUAGAAGCUAAACAGUAAGGUGUUAUAGAUAUAUAUAAUCCUGAUAGAAGAUGCUAUUAGAAGCUAAACAGUAAGGUGUUAUAGAUAUAUAUAAUCCUGAUAGAAGAUGCUAUUAGAAGCUAAACAGUAAGGUGUUAUAGAUAUAUAUAAUCCUGAUAGAAGAUGCUAUUAGAAGCUAAACAGUAAGGUGUUAUAGAUAUAUAUAAUCCUGAUAGAAGAUGCUAUUAGAAGUUAAACAGUAAGGUGUUAUAGAUAUAUAUAAUCCUGAUAGAAGAUGCUAUUAGAAGCUAAACAGUAAGGUGUUAUAGAUAUAUAUAAUCCUGAUAGAAGAUGCUAUUAGAAGCUAAACAGUAAGGUGUUAUAGAUAUAUAUAAUCCUGAUAGAAGAUGCUAUUAGAAGCUAAACAGUAAGGUGUUAUAGAUAUAUAUAAUCCUGAUAGAAGAUGCUAUUAGAAGCUAAACAGUAAGGUGUUAUAGAUAUAUAUAAUCCUGAUAGAAGAUGCUAUUAGAAGCUAAACAGUAAGGUGUUAUAGAUAUAUAUAAUCCUGAUAGAAGAUGCUAUUAGAAGCUAAACACUAAGGUGUUAUAGAUAUAUAUAAUCCUGAUAGAAGAUGCUAUUAGAAGCUAAACACUAAGGUGUUAUAGAUAUAUAUAAUCCUGAUAGAAGAUGCUAUUAGAAGCUAAACACUAAGGUGUUAUAGAUAUAUAUAAUCCUGAUAGAAGAUGCUAUUAGAAGCUAAACAGUAAGGUGUUAUAGAUAUAUAUAAUCCUGAUAGAAGAUGCUAUUAGAAGCUAAACACUAAGGUGUUAUAGAUAUAUAUAAUCCUGAUAGAAGAUGCUAUUAGAAGCUAAACAGUAAGGUGUUAUAGAUAUAUAUAAUCCUGAUAGAAGAUGCUAUUAGAAGUUAAACAGUAAGGUGUUAUAGAUAUAUAUAAUCCUGAUAGAAGAUGCUAUUAGAAGCUAAACAGUAAGGUGUUAUAGAUAUAUAUAAUCCUGAUAGAAGAUGCUAUUAGAAGCUAAACAGUAAGGUGUUAUAGAUAUAUAUAAUCCUGAUAGAAGAUACUAUUAGAAGUUAAACAGUAAGGUGUUAUAGAUAUAUAUAAUCCUGAUAGAAGAUGCUAUUAGAAGCUAAACACUAAGGUGUUAUAGAUAUAUAUAAUCCUGAUAGAAGAUGCUAUUAGAAGCUAAACAGUAAGGUGUUAUAGAUAUAUAUAAUCCUGAUAGAAGAUGCUAUUAGAAGCUAAACAGUAAGGUGUUAUAGAUAUAUAUAAUCCUGAUAGAAGAUGCUAUUAGAAGCUAAACAGUAAGGUGUUAUAGAUAUAUAUAAUCCUGAUAGAAGAUGCUAUUAGAAGCUAAACAGUAAGGUGUUAUAGAUAUAUAUAAUCCUGAUAGAAGAUGCUAUUAGAAGCUAAACAGUAAGGUGUUAUAGAUAUAUAUAAUCCUGAUAGAAGAUGCUAUUAGAAGCUAAACAGUAAGGUGUUAUAGAUAUAUAUAAUCCUGAUAGAAGAUGCUAUUAGAAGCUAAACAGUAAGGUGUUAUAGAUAUAUAUAAUCCUGAUAGAAGAUGCUAUUAGAAGCUAAACAGUAAGGUGUUAUAGAUAUAUAUAAUCCUGAUAGAAGAUGCUAUUAGAAGCUAAACAGUAAGGUGUUAUAGAUAUAUAUAAUCCUGAUAGAAGAUGCUAUUAGAAGCUAAACAGUAAGGUGUUAUAGAUAUAUAUAAUCCUGAUAGAAGAUGCUAUUAGAAGCUAAACAGUAAGGUGUUAUAGAUAUAUAUAAUCCUGAUAGAAGAUGCUAUUAGAAGCUAAACAGUAAGGUGUUAUAGAUAUAUAUAAUCCUGAUAGAAGAUGCUAUUAGAAGCUAAACAGUAAGGUGUUAUAGAUAUAUAUAAUCCUGAUAGAAGAUGCUAUUAGAAGUUAAACAGUAAGGUGUUAUAGAUAUAUAUAAUCCUGAUAGAAGAUGCUAUUAGAAGCUAAACAGUAAGGUGUUAUAGAUAUAUAUAAUCCUGAUAGAAGAUGCUAUUAGAAGCUAAACAGUAAGGUGUUAUAGAUAUAUAUAAUCCUGAUAGAAGAUGCUAUUAGAAGUUAAACAGUAAGGUGUUAUAGAUAUAUAUAAUCCUGAUAGAAGAUGCUAUUAGAAGCUAAACAGUAAGGUGUUAUAGAUAUAUAUAAUCCUGAUAGAAGAUGCUAUUAGAAGCUAAACAGUAAGGUGUUAUAGAUAUAUAUAAUCCUGAUAGAAGAUGCUAUUAGAAGCUAAACACUAAGGUGUUAUAGAUAUAUAUAAUCCUGAUAGAAGAUGCUAUUAGAAGCUAAACAGUAAGGUGUUAUAGAUAUAUAUAAUCCUGAUAGAAGAUGCUAUUAGAAGCUAAACAGUAAGGUGUUAUAGAUAUAUAUAAUCCUGAUAGAAGAUGCUAUUAGAAGUUAAACAGUAAGGUGUUAUAGAUAUAUAUAAUCCUGAUAGAAGAUGCUAUUAGAAGCUAAACAGUAAGGUGUUAUAGAUAUAUAUAAUCCUGAUAGAAGAUGCUAUUAGAAGUUAAACACUAAGGUGUUAUAGAUAUAUAUAAUCCUGAUAGAAGAUGCUAUUAGAAGCUAAACAGUAAGGUGUUAUAGAUAUAAUCCUGAUAGAAGAUGCUAUUAGAAGCUAAACAGUAAGGUGUUAUAAAUAUAUAUAAUCCUGAUAGAAGAUGCUAUUAGAAGCUAAACAUUAAGGUGUUAUACAUUUAUAUAAUCCUGAUAGAAGAUACUAUUAUAAACUAAACGGUAAGGUGUUCUAAAGUCUGUCUAUUCAGUAAUACAGUGAUUGACAUCACUGUGCUUCAAGUGAACGUGACACAUACACCAUGGUCUGUAAAUACUGCAAUGAAGGCUAAACAUGAUUGUUGUAAUGACAGAAGAACAAAUAAACGUGGAUCAAUGUGUGCCUCCA
Molecule: non-coding RNA, 5031 nt
Organism: Salmo salar (Atlantic salmon)
Lineage: Eukaryota; Metazoa; Chordata; Actinopteri; Salmoniformes; Salmonidae
Source: RefSeq, a predicted model, not a curated record